GAUGAACGCUGGCUACAGGCUUAACACAUGCCAGUCGAGGGGAAGCGACGGGGAAGCUUGCUUCCCCGGGCGUCGACCGGCGCACGGGUGAGUAACGCGUAUCCAACCUGCCUCUGACUGAGGGAUAACCCGUCGAAAGUCGGCCUAAUACCUCAUGGUAUCGUCUGCGGGCAUCCAACGACGAUUAAAGAUUUCAUCGGUCAGGGAUGGGGAUGCGUCUGAUUAGCUUGUUGGCGGGGUAACGGCCCACCAAGGCUACGAUCAGUAGGGGUUCUGAGAGGAAGGUCCCCCACAUUGGAACUGAGACACGGUCCAAACUCCUACGGGAGGCAGCAGUGAGGAAUAUUGGUCAAUGGGCGAGAGCCUGAACCAGCCAAGUAGCGUGCAGGAAGACGGCCCUAUGGGUUGUAAACUGCUUUUAUGCGGGGAUAAAGUGAGGGACGUGUCCCUCAUUGCAGGUACCGCAUGAAUAAGGACCGGCUAAUUCCGUG
RNAcentral lists this ribosomal RNA (491 nucleotides) under uncultured bacterium. Its description in RNAcentral is "partial 16S ribosomal RNA". It matches the Rfam family "Bacterial small subunit ribosomal RNA", at positions 28 to 507 of the family's 1533-position model. The record is from RNAcentral.